This 446-nucleotide ribosomal RNA is filed under the name uncultured bacterium. Its description in RNAcentral is "bacterial SSU rRNA". It matches the Rfam family "Bacterial small subunit ribosomal RNA", at positions 330 to 792 of the family's 1533-position model. The record is from RNAcentral.
CCCAGACUCCUACGGGAGGCAGCAGUGGGGGAUAUUGCACAAUGGGGGGAACCCUGAUGCAGCGACGCCGCGUGGGUGAAGGAGUAUUUCGGUAUGUAAAGCCCUAUCGGCAGGGAAGAAAUUGGACGGUACCUGACUAAGAAGCCCCGGCUAACUGCGUGCCAGCAGCCGCGGUAAUACGUAGGGGGCAAGCGUUAUCCGGAUUCACUGGGUGUAAAGGGAGCGUAGACGGCCAGGCAAGCCUGGAGUGAAAGCCCGGGGCCCAACCCCGGGACUGCUCUGGGAACUGUCCGGCUGGAGUGCGGGAGGGGCAGGCGGAAUUCCUGGUGUAGCGGUGAAAUGCGUAGAUAUCAGGAGGAACACCGGUGGCGAAGGCGGCCUGCUGGACUGCGACUGACGUUGAGGCCCGAAAGCGUGGGGAGCAAACAGGAUUAGAUACCCCGGUA